UUGGCAUCAGCCAUGGAGAUGCAGAGUUUGGAGUUUGCCCAGAUGGUUUCCUGUCUUUCAUUGGGGAUUAUAGUUAAGUGACUGGAUGAAUCUCAGAAGAGACCUUGAACUUUGGACUUUUAACAUUGUUGAGACUGCUAUAGACUAUGAGGACUUUGAAAGAUGGACUAAAUGUGUUUUGCAUUAUGCUAUGUUUAAGUAUGCCCCCCCUCCCAAUAGACUCAUGUGUUUGACCAAAUCUUUGGGGGCAAGGGAGUGGAAUGUGAUGGUUUGUAUAUUCUUGGACCAGGGAGUAGCACCAUUUGGAGAUAGGUGGACCUGGUUAGAGUAGAUGUGUCACUGUGGGUGUGGGCUUAAGACCCUCAUCCUAGGUGCCUGGAAGUCAGUCUUCCACUAGCAGCCUUUUGGAUGAAAAUGUAGAACUCUCACCUCUGCCUGUAUCAUGACUGCCUGGAUGCUGCCAUGGUCCCACCUUGAUGUUAAUGGACUGAAACUUUGAACCUGUAAGCCAGCCCCAAUUAAAUGUUAUUUUAUAUAAGACUUGUUUUGGUAGUGGUGUCUGUUCACAGCAGUAAAACCCUGACUAAGACAGAAGUAUCCAGGACUCACUGCGGUAGGUGAACUGUGUUCUGAUGUUGCCAAGUAGCCU
RNAcentral lists this long non-coding RNA (649 nucleotides) under Mus musculus (house mouse). RNAcentral's name for it is "Pxgm". Lineage: Eukaryota; Metazoa; Chordata; Mammalia; Rodentia; Muridae. The record is from RNAcentral.